Molecule: ribosomal RNA, 1514 nt
Filed under: metagenome
Description: bacterial LSU rRNA
Rfam family: Bacterial large subunit ribosomal RNA
Source: RNAcentral
CUAACGCUCGAACCCGUGCUGGUGCGGCUAGCGUAUUAACAGGUGUGACGCAGGAAGGUAGCUGAGCCAGGCGAUGGUUGUCCUGGUGUAAGGACGUAGGGCGAGAGAUAGGCAAAUCCGUCUCUCACAUAGCCUGAGAUUCGAUGCGUACCCCUCACGGGGGAAAUCAGUGAUCCUAUGCUGCCGAGAAAAGCAUCGACGCGAGGUUCUAGCCGCCCGUACCCCAAACCGACUCAGGUGGUCAGGUAGAGAAUACCAAGGAGAUCGAGAGAAUCGUGGUUAAGGAACUCGGCAAAAUGCCCCCGUAACUUCGGGAGAAGGGGGGCCUAAGGCGUGUACGGACUUGCUCCGGAAGCGCUGCAGGGCCGCAGAGACCAGUGGGAAGCGACUGUUUACUAAAAACACAGGUCCGUGCGAAGUCGCAAGACGAUGUAUACGGACUGACGCCUGCCCGGUGCUGGAAGGUUAAGAGGAAGGGUUAGCUUCGGCGAAGCUCUGAAUUUAAGCCCCAGUAAACGGCGGUGGUAACUAUAACCAUCCUAAGGUAGCGAAAUUCCUUGUCGGGUAAGUUCCGACCUGCACGAAUGGCGUAACGACUUCCCAGCUGUCUCAACCGCGAACUCGGCGAAAUUGCACUACGAGUAAAGAUGCUCGUUACGCGCAGCAGGACGGAAAGACCCCGUGACCUUUACUACAGCUUGGUAUUGGUGUUCGGUGUGGCUUGUGUAGGAUAGGUGGGAGACUAUGAAGCUGGCACGCUAGUGUCGGUGGAGUCGUUGUUGAAAUACCACUCUGGUCACUCUGGAUGUCUAACUACGAACCGUAAUCCGGUUCUGGGACAGUGCCUGGUGGGUAGUUUAACUGGGGCGGUUGCCUCCCAAAAAGUAACGGAGGCGCCCAAAGGUUCCCUCAACCUGGUUGGCAAUCAGGUGUCGAGUGUAAGUGCACAAGGGAGCUUGACUGUGAGAGUGACGGCUCGAGCAGGGACGAAAGUCGGGACUAGUGGUCCGGCAGUGGCUUGUGGAAGCGCUGUCGCUCAACGGAUAAAAGGUACCUCGGGGAUAACAGGCUGAUCUUGCCCAAGAGUCCAUAUCGACGGCAUGGUUUGGCACCUCGAUGUCGGCUCGUCGCAUCCUGGGGCUGGAGUAGGUCCCAAGGGUUGGGCUGUUCGCCCAUUAAAGCGGUACGCGAGCUGGGUUUAGAACGUCGUGAGACAGUUCGGUCCCUAUCCGCUGCGCGCGUAGGAAAUUUGAGAAGAUCUAUCCCUAGUACGAGAGGACCGGGAUGGACGAACCUCUGGUGUGUCAGUUGUUCUGCCAAGAGCACCGCUGAUUAGCUACGUUCGGAACGGAUAACCGCUGAAAGCAUCUAAGCGGGAAGCCGGCUUCAAGAUGAGAUUUCCAUCCCUUAGGGGGAGAGGCUCGCAGCUAGACUACUGCGUUGAUAGGCCGGAUGUGGAAGUGGGGACUAAAGACCCAUGGAGCUGACCGGUACUAAUAAGCCGAUAACUUGAU